UACAGAGGUCCCGAGCGUUGUUCGGAUUCACUGGGCGUAAAGGGUGCGUAGGUGGUGAGGUAAGUCGGAUGUGAAAUCUCCGGGCUCAACCCGGAAACUGCAUUGGAAACUACCUUGCUUGAGGGUUUGAGGGGGGACUGGAAUUCUCGGUGUAGCAGUGAAAUGCGUAGAUAUCGAGAGGAACACCAGUGGCGAAGGCGGCUCACUGGCCCGUAACUGACGCUGAGGUGCGAAAGCGUGGGGAGCAAACAGG
Molecule: ribosomal RNA, 253 nt
Filed under: uncultured bacterium
Lineage: Bacteria
Description: partial 16S ribosomal RNA
Rfam family: Bacterial small subunit ribosomal RNA
Source: RNAcentral